This 481-nucleotide ribosomal RNA is filed under the name uncultured bacterium. RNAcentral's name for it is "bacterial SSU rRNA". It matches the Rfam family "Bacterial small subunit ribosomal RNA", at positions 34 to 509 of the family's 1533-position model. The record is from RNAcentral.
CGCUGGCGGCAUGCCUAACACAUGCAAGUCGAACGGAGUUCUUUUCGACAGGAACCCUUCGGGGGGACGAUGAGUUGAACUUAGUGGCGGACGGGCGAGUAACGCGUGAGCAACCUGCCUUUCAGUGGGGAACAACAGUUGGAAACGACUGCUAAUACCGCAUAACGUGCAGUCACCGCAUGAUGACGGCACCAAAGGAUUUAUUCGCUGAGAGAUGGGCUCGCGUCCGAUUAGAUAGUUGUGGGGUAACGGCCCACCAAGUCGACGAUCGGUAGCCGAACUGAGAGGUUGAUCGGCCGCAUUGGGACUGAGACACGGCCCAGACUCCUACGGGAGGCAGCAGUGGGGAUAUUGCACAAUGGGGAAACCCUGAUGCAGCAAUGCCGCGUGAGGGAAGACGGUCUUCGGAUUGUAAACCUAAGUAGUCAGGGACGAAGAAAGUGACGUUACCUGAAGAGUAAGCUCCGGCUAACUACGUGCC